This 823-nucleotide long non-coding RNA is filed under the name Capsicum annuum. RNAcentral describes it as "long non-coding RNA (CANN_LNC008813)". The record is from RNAcentral. Lineage: Eukaryota; Viridiplantae; Streptophyta; Magnoliopsida; Solanales; Solanaceae.
AAAGAAGAUAAUUAUAAUUUCAAAUUUAAUGUUGUCCUAAUUAAUAUAUAUCUCUUUUUCUUUCUCAUCAUUAAUUUUCUUCCUUAUUUAAGACAUUAUUUUACUACUAAUGAUCCUAAUUACUAUAAAAUAAUAAUAUUAAUAACUUUUCUGUUGUGAUACGGACAUUUAAGGAAUUAUAUUCGUGUAAUUAAUAAUGGAUAAUCGUUUUCUAUAUUUAUGGAAUUAAUAAAGUUAUAUCAGAUUAGUUUACCACUGCCACAAAUUAUUCUCAUUUUUAAUUUGAUUAUAUAUAUUAUAUUGUGUCCUCUCAGCUAUCUAAGUGCCACUCGUUGGAGUGUGGUACUUGCUUGACAGCUGGGAUCUUUCCUAGGUGAUGGCUGGGACUGCGUUUUCUUUGGGGACGCAGGUUUCCAUCUGAAUUGGAGGAGGCCUAUAUAAAGAAAUUCUUUACAGUCUACUUUGCUGGCCUUGAAUCUUCUUUCUUGAGUUUGACUGGCUUAGUAGCCACCUGGGCAACCUUUGACUCUGAAGGGAGGUUCAAGGUGUUGCACAAGCUCCUUGGGGGGGAGUGCCCGCACCGUUAAGGGAGUCUUUGUGUGGCUCAGGUUAGAUUAUGCCAUGGUUAUCUCCUAAUGGGUCUCAUCUUUCUACAUGAAAUGAAUAACAGAGGCGAGCGGAGUGAGGGCGGUGGGCGGGCACGGUGGGAAAGAAGACCUGCCUCACGCUAAGGAUAAGCCUCAUUUCUAGGAAGCCCGCUGAGCCUUCAAUCACAUCACUAUUGUUAGAUCCUUUAAUCGUGUAUUACCUCUUUCUGUCCUCC